Molecule: ribosomal RNA, 263 nt
Filed under: uncultured bacterium
Lineage: Bacteria
Description: partial 16S ribosomal RNA
Rfam family: Bacterial small subunit ribosomal RNA
Source: RNAcentral
AUUAACGCUAGCGGCAGGCAUAAUACAUGCAAGUUGAACGGCAGCACAGGUAGCAAUACCGGGUGGCGAGUGGCGCACGGGUGCGUAACACGUAUGCAUCCUACCCUAUACAGGCGAAUAACCUUUAGAAAUGAGGGCUAAUACGCCGUGGUAUUAUCUUGGGGCAUCUUGAGAUAAUUAAAGAUUUAUCGGUAUAGGAUGGGCAUGCGUCCCAUUAGUUAGUUGGUAGGGUAACGGCCUACCAAGGCGAUGAUGGGUAGGGG